Molecule: transfer RNA, 78 nt
Filed under: Herbidospora sp. NBRC 101105
Lineage: Bacteria; Bacillati; Actinomycetota; Actinomycetes; Streptosporangiales; Streptosporangiaceae
Description: tRNA-Ser
Source: RNAcentral
CGUCCCGGUCGCCGGAGGGCCGGCGGUCACGGUCCUGGAAAGGCCGCUGCGGCCGGUCGCCCCGGUCCUGGAACGACC